AGCAACAAAUGCCCUGCUUCCAGGAAAAGCCUCUAAGCAUCAGGUAACAUCAAAUCGUACCCCAAACCGACACAGGUGGUCAGGUAGAGAAUACCAAGGCGCUUGAGAGAACUCGGGUGAAGGAACUAGGCAAAAUGGUGCCGUAACUUCGGGAGAAGGCACGCUGACACGUAGGUGAAGUGAUUUACUCAUGGAGCUGAAGUCAGUCGAAGAUACCAGCUGGCUGCAACUGUUUAUUAAAAACACAGCACUGUGCAAACACGAAAGUGGACGUAUACGGUGUGACGCCUGCCCGGUGCCGGAAGGUUAAUUGAUGGGGUCAGCGCAAGCGAAGCUCCUGAUCGAAGCCCCGGUAAACGGCGGCCGUAACUAUAACGGUCCUAAGGUAGCGAAAUUCCUUGUCGGGUAAGUUCCGACCUGCACGAAUGGCGUAAUGAUGGCCAGGCUGUCUCCACCCGAGACUCAGUGAAAUUGAACUCGCUGUGAAGAUGCAGUGUACCCGCGGCAAGACGGAAAGACCCCGUGAACCUUUACUAUAGCUUGACACUGAACAUUGAGCCUUGAUGUGUAGGAUAGGUGGGAGGCUUUGAAGUGUGGACGCCAGUCUGCAUGGAGCCGGCCUUGAAAUACCACCCUUUAAUGUUUGAUGUUCUAACGUGGACCCGUGAUCCGGGUUGCGGACAGUGUCUGGUGGGUAGUUUGACUGGGGCGGUCUCCUCCUAAAGAGUAACGGAGGAGCACGAAGGUUGGCUAAUCCUGGUCGGACAUCAGGAGGUUAGUGCAAUGGCAUAAGCCAGCUUGACUGCGAGCGUGACGGCGCGAGCAGGUGCGAAAGCAGGUCAUAGUGAUCCGGUGGUUCUGAAUGGAAGGGCCAUCGCUCAACGGAUAAAAGGUACUCCGGGGAUAACAGGCUGAUACCGCCCAAGAGUUCAUAUCGACGGCGGUGUUUGGCACCUCGAUGUCGGCUCAUCACAUCCUGGGGCUGAAGUAGGUCCCAAGGGUAUGGCUGUUCGCCAUUUAAAGUGGUACGCGAGCUGGGUUUAGAACGUCGUGAGACAGUUCGGUCCCUAUCUGCCGUGGGCGCUGGAGAACUGAGGGGGGCUGCUCCUAGUACGAGAGGACCGGAGUGGACGCAUCACUGGUGUUCGGGUUGUCAUGCCAAUGGCACUGCCCGGUAGCUAAAUGCGGAAGAGAUAAGUGCUGAAAGCAUCUAAGCACGAAACUUGCCCCGAGAUGAGUUCUCCCUGAGACUUUAGGUCUCCUGAAGGAACGUUGAAGACGACGACGUUGAUAGGCCGGGUGUGUAAGCGCAGCGAUGCGUUGAGCUAACCGGUACUAAUGAACCGUGAGGCUUAACCUUACAACGCCGAAG
Molecule: ribosomal RNA, 1372 nt
Filed under: Salmonella enterica
Lineage: Bacteria; Pseudomonadati; Pseudomonadota; Gammaproteobacteria; Enterobacterales; Enterobacteriaceae
Also listed under: 2 other names
Description: partial 23S ribosomal RNA
Rfam family: Bacterial large subunit ribosomal RNA
Source: RNAcentral